CCCCAGACCAUUAUACCUGGCACCCUUUUCGCAAGAUCCUAUGAUCGGUAACUACCACACACGAGUGAAAGUAACAGUUCCGUAUAUAAGUACGUUACAGUUGCCUGGUGUGGUGCAUGUGGGACGCUAUAGCUCUGUGUUUACCGAACCUUUGAAAUGAACGCAUGCGCGAUAAAUGAGACGUAGCGCAUGCGUGGGCAUCAUCCAAUCAGAACGCAGGCAAAUUUCGCGCCGGUCGCGCAAGUUCGAGACGGCUCAAAAAUUUCAAAAAAUAUUUGUUUUCAGAACAAAUUCAGUGAAAAUAUCUAUUAUUCACAUGUAUUUGCUUGUUGAAGGUUUAAAUUUAACCAAGACUAUGAAUCGACUGGAAAAGAUGAAGGCGAAGUGAAAUUUACACCGUAAAUUAACCAAGAGGUCGCAGUGUCGCACCGCCGUUGGUUUCUAUACGAAAAGUACAAACUCAAAGCGAUAUUUUUUUUAUAUUUUGUACUAUUUUGUUUCCUUUUCUGACGAUAGUUGAUGAGAAGAUAUUCUUGUCUAAAGCUUGCUUCAAUCGUCAAAGGAGGAAAGUUCUUAGUUUGACUUAAUAUUAAUGUAUUUCUGUAUUUGUAUUUAUGAAUCAUAUAUUUAAUAAUUAUUAUAAACUUCUAAAAUCUUGCACAUAGUGUAUAUUCUUUUGUGUAUAUUCUGGAAAGUAUCUCACUUUGGCGAUAAAGCAUAACGUCGAUCAAUAAAAGGAUGGGCAAGGUGAGGUCAUUGAGUACUUUCCGGAACCGUCAUUGAGUACUUUCCGGAACCGUGUAUUUAUAUAUACAGUAUUGUCUUGUAUAUAUACAUUAUGCCUAUAUUUAUAUAUACAUGAGCUUGUGGUUAGAGCUUGACAACUGGCCUGUGUACCUCAGUUGGUUGGAG
This is a non-coding RNA of Paramuricea clavata, 912 nucleotides long. The record is from the annotation of a GenBank genome assembly. NCBI's taxonomy places the organism in Eukaryota, Metazoa, Cnidaria, Anthozoa, Malacalcyonacea, Plexauridae.